This 232-nucleotide long non-coding RNA is filed under the name Lathyrus oleraceus (garden pea). RNAcentral's name for it is "Pisum sativum (pea) long non-coding RNA (PSAT_LNC015371)". Lineage: Eukaryota; Viridiplantae; Streptophyta; Magnoliopsida; Fabales; Fabaceae. The record is from RNAcentral.
AAAUCAGAAAUUAAAAAGAAAAUAGAAAAAACAAGGGCCAUCAGAUAUCCCUCAUUAAUUAAGGUGGCAGAUCUGAUGGCCAAGUGCGCGCGUUCCACAAUGGUCCUCAGUCAAUGCAUCAUACACAUGGUAAUUAAAAGGCAGGGCUCAGAUCAAAACGUUUUAACAUGAUCAGAUGGUCAGGAAGCACACCAAUACAUCACCAAAGCCCUAGCUCCGGUCGUCUUCUCCG